GACGAACGCUGGCGGCGUGCUUAACACAUGCAAGUCGAACGAAGAGCGAUGGAGGCUUGCUUCUAUCAAUCUUAGUGGCGAACGGGUGAGUAACGCGUAAUCAACCUGCCCUUCAGAGGGGGACAACAGUUGGAAACGACUGCUAAUACCGCAUACGAUCUAAUCUCGGCAUCGAGGAUAGAUGAAAGGUGGCCUCUACAUGUAAGCUAUCACUGAAGGAGGGGAUUGCGUCUGAUUAGCUAGUUGGAGGGGUAACGGCCCACCAAGGCGAUGAUCAGUAGCCGGUCUGAGAGGAUGAACGGCCACAUUGGGACUGAGACACGGCCCAGACUCCUACGGGAGGCAGCAGUGGGGAAUCUUCCGCAAUGGACGAAAGUCUGACGGAGCAACGCCGCGUGAGUGAUGACGGCCUUCGGGUUGUAAAGCUCGGUUAAUCGGGACGAAAGGCCUUCUUGCGAAUAGUGAGAAGGAUUGACGGUACCGGAAUAGAAAGCCACGGCUAACUACGUG
RNAcentral lists this ribosomal RNA (510 nucleotides) under uncultured bacterium. RNAcentral describes it as "partial 16S ribosomal RNA". It matches the Rfam family "Bacterial small subunit ribosomal RNA", at positions 28 to 507 of the family's 1533-position model. The record is from RNAcentral.